GCUGGUUUUCCCACCCUAAUCUUAUUAUGUAAAUGGGCUUUCCACUUGAUCAGUGCCAUCCUGUCUGCUCGUUACUGUACACGUGGCUGGCAAAGAGAUGAGAAGAUGGAGUCGCCAUUGUGAUCAUGCCUAGUCUCAGGGACAUGGAUGAAUCUGGAGAACAUCAUCCUCAGCAAACUGACACAAGAACAGAAAACGAAACACCGCAUAUUCUCACUCAUAGCAAGUGUUUCAGCAUUGGGCAGAAGACAAAAGAACUAAUUUCAGGAUUAUAGCACUGAAAAGUCAGGAAGGUUUGAGUACAUCCUGCAGAAGAUUCUGACUAAGACCAAGACAUUUAUGUUCCUGCCAGUGCUGGAG
This 360-nucleotide long non-coding RNA is filed under the name Callithrix jacchus (white-tufted-ear marmoset). RNAcentral's name for it is "lncRNA (ENSCJAG00000070506.1)". The record is from RNAcentral. Lineage: Eukaryota; Metazoa; Chordata; Mammalia; Primates; Cebidae.